AUCACCUCCUUGCCCGCAAGGGGAAAGAUUUAUCGCCAUUGGAUGAACCCGCGUCGGAUUAGCUAGUUGGUGAGGUAAAGGCUCACCAAGGCGACGAUCCGUAGCUGGUCUGAGAGGAUGAUCAGCCACACUGGGACUGAGACACGGCCCAGACUCCUACGGGAGGCAGCAGUGGGGAAUAUUGGACAAUGGGCGCAAGCCUGAUCCAGCCAUGCCGCGUGAGUGAUGAAGGCCUUAGGGUUGUAAAGCUCUUUCGCCGACGAAGAUAAUGACGGUAGUCGGAGAAGAAGCCCCGGCUAACUUCGUGCCAGCAGCCGCGGUAAUACGAAGGGGGCUAGCGUUGUUCGGAAUCACUGGGCGUAAAGCGCACGUAGGCGGACAUUUAAGUCAGGGGUGAAAGCCUGGAGCUCAACUCCAGAACUGCCCUUGAUACUGGGUGUCUCGAGUCCGGAAGAGGUAAGUGGAACUGCGAGUGUAGAGGUGAAAUUCG
This 490-nucleotide ribosomal RNA is filed under the name bacterium RBM-E3. RNAcentral describes it as "bacterial SSU rRNA". It matches the Rfam family "Bacterial small subunit ribosomal RNA", at positions 173 to 690 of the family's 1533-position model. The record is from RNAcentral.